GCCCCGGUGGCGAAACUGGUAGACGCACAGGACUUAAAAUCCUGAGUUGGGUCACACUGACGUGCCGGUUCAAGUCCGGCCCGGGGCACCA
RNAcentral lists this transfer RNA (91 nucleotides) under Bdellovibrionales bacterium. RNAcentral's name for it is "tRNA-Leu". It matches the Rfam family "tRNA". From Rfam's summary of the family: Transfer RNA (tRNA) molecules are approximately 80 nucleotides in length. RNAcentral also lists the same sequence under 1 other name. The record is from RNAcentral. Lineage: Bacteria; Pseudomonadati; Bdellovibrionota; Bdellovibrionia; Bdellovibrionales.